GACGAACGUUGGCGGUGUGCUUAAUACAUGCAAGUCAACUGAAGCACCGGUAGUAAUACUGGUGUGGAGGUGGCGCACGGUGAGUAACACGUAGGUAAUCUGCCUUCAGGUCUGACAUAACCCCGAGAAAUCGGGGCUAAUAGCAGAUGAUGCAGCGGCUUGACAUCAAGACAGUUGUUAAAGCUUCGGCGCCUGAAGAUGAGCCUGCGUCUGAUUAGCUAGUUGGCGGAGUAAUGGCCCACCAAGGCUACGAUCAGGAACUGGUCUGAGAGGAUGAUCAGACACACUGGAACUGAGACACGGUCCAGACUCCUACGGGAGGCAGCAGUAAGGAAUAUUGCUCAAUGGGAGAAAUCCUGAAGCAGCAACGCCGCGUGAGGGAUGAAGGGCUUUUGCUCGUAAAACCUCUGUAGUGAGGGAAAAAAUUUCCACUCUGUGGAAUAUGAUGGU
Molecule: ribosomal RNA, 450 nt
Filed under: uncultured bacterium
Lineage: Bacteria
Description: bacterial SSU rRNA
Rfam family: Bacterial small subunit ribosomal RNA
Source: RNAcentral